AGAGUUUGAUCAUGGCUCAGGACGAACGCUGGCGGCGUGCCUAAUACAUGCAAGUCGAGCGGACGUUUUUGAAGCUUGCUUCAAAAACGUCAGCGGCGGACGGGUGAGUAACACGUGGGCAACCUACCUUAUCGACUGGGAUAACUCCGGGAAACCGGGGCUAAUACCGGAUAACAUCUAGCACCUCCUGGUGCCGGAUUAAAAGAGGGCUUCUUGCUCUCACGAUGAGAUGGGCCCGCGGCGCAUUAGCUAGUUGGAGAGGUAACGGCUCCCCAAGGCGACGAUGCGUAGCCGACCUGAGAGGGUGAUCGGCCACACUGGGACUGAGACACGGCCCAGACUCCUACGGGAGGCAGCAGUAGGGAAUCUUCCGCAAUGGACGAAAGUCUGACGGAGCAACGCCGCGUGAGUGAUGAAGGGUUUCGGCUCGUAAAGCUCUGUUAUGAGGGAAGAACACGUACCGUUCGAAUAGGGCGGUACCUUGACGGUACCUCAUCAGAAAGCCACGGCUAACUACGUGCCAGCAGCCGCGGUAAUACGUAGGUGGCAAGCGUUGUCCGGAAUUAUUGGGCGUAAAGCGCGCGCAGGCGGCCUUUUAAGUCUGAUGUGAAAUCUUGUGGCUCAACCGCAAGCGGCCAUUGGAAACUGGGAGGCUUGAGUACAGAAGAGGAGAGUGGAAUUCCACGUGUAGCGGUGAAAUGCGUAGAUAUGUGGAGGAACACCAGUGGCGAAGGCGACUCUCUGGUCUGUAACUGACGCUGAGGCGCGAAAGCGUGGGGAGCAAACAGGAUUAGAUACCCUGCUAGUCCACGCCGUAAACGAUGAGUGCUAGGUGUUUAGGGGUUUCGAUGCCCGUAGUGCCGAAGUUAACACA
This 874-nucleotide ribosomal RNA is filed under the name Bacillus sp. h50-11-m13-48. RNAcentral describes it as "bacterial SSU rRNA". It matches the Rfam family "Bacterial small subunit ribosomal RNA", at positions 8 to 859 of the family's 1533-position model. The record is from RNAcentral. Lineage: Bacteria; Bacillati; Bacillota; Bacilli; Caryophanales; Bacillaceae.